AAAUGCCGAAAACCGGUAUUUUGUAGAUUUGCGAGUGUGCGAAUGCUCAUGAGGAAAUCCCCAACCAUAGUGGGCUUGGAGCUGUGAGGGAAUUCGGAGUGACCACCCAUUCUGAAAGUUUGAUUUUCUUCUGGUGAACUGGACAUCCUUUUAUUUACGUUUGAAGUUUUGGGUUUUUAAAUGUAAUAAGGCCGCUUAAUUAUUUUUGAUGGUUUUAAUAUGUAUUACUAAGAUAGGUAUUACUUAUUUUAACUAUUGAAAUUGGAUAGCUUUAGGGCGCGUUUUCAAAAAAAACAA
Long non-coding RNA from Gossypium arboreum, 297 nucleotides. RefSeq lists it as uncharacterized. The record is from RefSeq and is a predicted model, not a curated record. NCBI's taxonomy places the organism in Eukaryota, Viridiplantae, Streptophyta, Magnoliopsida, Malvales, Malvaceae. The transcript is spliced from 2 exons.